RNAcentral lists this ribosomal RNA (465 nucleotides) under uncultured bacterium. RNAcentral's name for it is "bacterial LSU rRNA". It matches the Rfam family "Bacterial large subunit ribosomal RNA", at positions 2203 to 2650 of the family's 2925-position model. The record is from RNAcentral.
CUUUAGCGAGGCUAGAAUUCUAACCCUUACCCGUCAUCCGGGAAGGAGACAGUUUCAGGGGGGUAGUUUGACUGGGGCGGUCGCCUCCUAAAGCGUAACGGAGGAGUUCGAAGGUACGCUAGGUACGGUCGGACAUCGUGCUAAUAGUGCAAUGGCAUAAGCGUGCUUAACUGCGAGACUGACAAGUCGAGCAGAUGCGAAAGCAGGACAUAGUGAUCCGGUGGUUCUGUAUGGAAGGGCCAUCGCUCAACGGAUAAAAGGUACUCUGGGGAUAACAGGCUGAUACCGCCCAAGAGUUCAUAUCGACGGCGGUGUUUGGCACCUCGAUGUCGGCUCAUCUCAUCCUGGGGCUGUAGCCGGUCCCAAGGGUAUGGCUGUUCGCCAUUUAAAGAGGUACGUGAGCUGGGUUUAAAACGUCGUGAGACAGUUUGGUCCCUAUCUGCCGUGGACCCGUCGACGCGGCCG